AUUGCUACUGUUAACAAUAGUGCUGACCUUUUAGUAAAAGUGGUAAGUGCUAUUUGUUGGGGUAGUUUUA
Molecule: microRNA precursor, 70 nt
Filed under: Astyanax mexicanus (Mexican tetra)
Lineage: Eukaryota; Metazoa; Chordata; Actinopteri; Characiformes; Acestrorhamphidae
Description: miR-430 microRNA precursor family
Rfam family: miR-430 microRNA precursor family
Source: Rfam by way of RNAcentral